CCGCUCGGUCUUUGGGGGAUGGGAUGGGGGAGCACAGGUAGGACGUUGGGAAUGCUAGGUGGACCACGGCAUUGGCCGGGUCCGCAUGCGGGCGGGGCCUGGACGUCGGAUGGGACGGCUCCAGAGCGGUGGAGCGCUUGGAGAGCCCUGAGGAUUUGCCCAUUGCGGAGACGGUGCAGGUGCGCAAGUUUGGACAGGGAGUCUUUGUGGUUGGUGACAGACGGGCGGCCUCGUUGCGGGGGCCAUGGGAGUGUCUCUUGGGCAACCCUGGUGCCCAUGACUGAACCUGCAUGGCACAAUUUUGUUUCCUAGUGUUUG
RNAcentral lists this long non-coding RNA (318 nucleotides) under Androctonus crassicauda. The record is from RNAcentral. Lineage: Eukaryota; Metazoa; Arthropoda; Arachnida; Scorpiones; Buthidae.